GCCGGACAAGGAUGAUGAGAGAGCAGCCAGGGAGCGGGAGAAGAGGCGGGUGCGGCAGGAGGAGAGGAGAGCAGAGAUGAAAUCACGGCAUGAUGAAAUCCGAAGAAAAUACGGCCUGUUCAAGGAAGAGAACCCUUACGCAAAAUUUGAGAAUUAGCAUCUCCAGACACACCCACCCACCCUGGUGAACAGUGCCUUCUGCAGAGCCAAAAGUCUCCAGGCUUCCCCCCACCACCAUGGUGCCACUUCAACUGCCACAGAAGAUGACCCAAAUCCUUGGUGACACCAUUGUCCCCACUCCAGGUGCUUGGUCUGCCCAGACUUUGCUCUUGCCCUGCUGGUGCAAGAAACCAUGGUGACAAUACUGGAAGAUGGGGCAUUUUUUCCUCACUCACCCCAGGGUGGUUGUGGUGUCCAAAGCAAUGCACAUAACAGUCCUUGUCCCAGCCAAGGGCAAAAGCAACGUCACACAUCUCCCUCACUCCUGCCUCACCAAGAACACUUCAUGCACACAGAGCUAGCCUCUUCUGCUCUUCCUCCCCCUCUUUUUGUUUUUCUUUUAGUAUAUGCAAAAGCCAGCAAGAGUUUCCUGACGUAAGGGCUAGCAGGAGGCUUUGGCUGUCACUCCAGGUGCAUGCACUUAUCCCAGCACAUUAGCAGUCCUCUCAAAGAGCACAAGUUUCUGGUGAUCUGGUGCUUCCAGGAGGAAGGUCUUAUGUGCACCUUCUCACUUGCAACUAAUCUGGGGAAAUGCCCCAACUCUCCUGCCUCUCUGUGCCUUUCUAGAAAGGUGGUCUUGGGCUCAAUGGCCACGUCUGUUAGCAAUACUGUAAGUUUCAAGUGCAUUUACAAUAUGCUGACUGUAUAUUAAACUGAUUCAAUUAC
This is a long non-coding RNA of Passer domesticus (house sparrow), 885 nucleotides long. RefSeq lists it as uncharacterized. Lineage: Eukaryota; Metazoa; Chordata; Aves; Passeriformes; Passeridae. The transcript is spliced from 3 exons. The record is from RefSeq and is a predicted model, not a curated record.